Molecule: long non-coding RNA, 1133 nt
Filed under: Triticum aestivum (bread wheat)
Lineage: Eukaryota; Viridiplantae; Streptophyta; Magnoliopsida; Poales; Poaceae
Description: long non-coding RNA (TAES_LNC017307)
Source: RNAcentral
AUCAUUCAUUCAUUCAUUUCUCAUACUGAAAUAAAUAAUGCUUAAUCUUUUCAGUUUAGAGUGAGUCUAUCCACUUAUGCACUUGCAGAACUGCAAUGGCUGGUCCAAAUGGCAUCACCUUUUGUAUUUUUUGUUUUGGCCUUGCAGUGUACUGGGAUCCAUACUGAUGAUAAUGGGCCUCUAUAUUCUGCUGUGGGGAAAGAGCAGGGAUGCCUCGGCGACAGUACCACCUGCCAAAGAGGAAGAGGAUAAGGAGAAGCAAAUCAAAUCAUGAGGACCAAAGCUAUGCAAUUCUUAGGUUGAAAAACUAUGGCAUAUAUUCCUCCUUAGUUUCCUACGCCUACGUAGUUUAACCAAGAGGAAUGGUAUACAGUACUGUUAGUAAUGCAGUUGUCGUAUGCGUUUUCGCUCGCACAACGAGACGAUACGUCGGGCUAAUUUCUGCCUAAAUGUAGCCCAAAUUCUUCAGGUGAUAAAGAGCGGUGGGCAUAGGUUGCCCAUAUCUCAGUACGUUAGAAGGUCACAUCUGUCACACUGAGCAUGAAAAGAAAUAAAAGAAAAGAAAAGAAAGUAUUCUCCGCACGAUUUUUGUACGACCACCCCACGGUCCUGUGGGGGCGGCUAUAUCGAAUCAAUGCUUUGCGAUUUGAUUUGGACUUAAAGAAACGGUUUGCUCAUCAAAGAAGAGACAGUGGGCAUUGGAUCUUCGAACUUUCUCAUGGGAAGGCAUUCCCCUAAAUUGGUCCUUGUAGGUCCUAAAACGGGCUCAUGCCAAAAUUUUCAGUGCUAAAACAGCAUCCAAUGCCCUACAGUGUAGAAGGCCAUGCAGGAAGGAUCACAAGCUAUAUUUUGCUUGCCAGAAAUUGGAAAAAAGAGGGGCAGAGCCUUACUUUGUUCCUUCACACUGUGCAAUAAAGAGGCAGCUAUUCGAUUCAGCUGGGUGCGCAAUUUGCUCGAUGCGGCAAAUUUUCCACAAUUAUUCAGACAUUAAGAGAACAAACGAUGUGCUCCUCUCCCCCGGGCCAUGUUUUAGCUCUCAGUCACGUGUGCGAAAACGAAACCGCGAGUCGGAGACAUGGCUUCGGAUGCCAUUUUCCGGACCUUCGCCUGUCACCACCCCUAUAAAAACCAUG